Carassius gibelio (silver crucian carp) is the source of this 500-nucleotide long non-coding RNA. RefSeq lists it as uncharacterized. The record is from RefSeq and is a predicted model, not a curated record. Lineage: Eukaryota; Metazoa; Chordata; Actinopteri; Cypriniformes; Cyprinidae. The transcript is spliced from 3 exons.
GGAUAGGUUAAAUGCAGAGCACCAAUUCCGAAUAUGGGUUACCAUACUUGGCAAAAUGUCAUGAUUUUCACUUUCAGUAAUUGCUAGUGAAGAGUUUUGCGACCUUGUUUUUGUGGUGCCACCAGCAAAUCAGGGUUAUUGUCUCAUGGUAUUGGUUGUGUUUUAUUUUUUUUUACAGCUUCAAAAUGAUUAGUCACACACAUUCACAGCUCAGGUGAUUGGUUCAAAAACCUGGAAUGAAGUGCCCACGGGCCAUGGCAAACCAGCUGAUCAUAAGGAUGAAUGGGAUUUCUUCUGAUCUUUCUUUCUACAGUGGCCAAGUAGGAGCCGCUAAACAUCUGACUUGACAUCUGAUAUGCUGCAGUUGACCUCAACACAGCUCAUCUAACCUUUGGCCCAAAUAAAAGGUGUGAUAACCUAGAUGGGUCCAGUUCUGAGUGAGGUUCAUGUGAAGGGACCCCAUGGCUUCCAGAUGUCACAUGACGGCAAUAAAAGAGUAA